Long non-coding RNA from Odocoileus virginianus texanus, 892 nucleotides. RefSeq lists it as uncharacterized. The record is from RefSeq and is a predicted model, not a curated record. NCBI's taxonomy places the organism in Eukaryota, Metazoa, Chordata, Mammalia, Artiodactyla, Cervidae.
ACCGCCUCUCUGACCACUGUUCAAGCUUCUGAAUCCUCCCCUUAUCUCACAGCCCAGUGAGUGCAGGGGAUUUGGAAAUGAGAUGAAAUUACUCAAUUUGCCAGUAGGAGUCUGUGUGACUUUUAAGUUUGGACAUUGCAAGCACUUGGUCACUCUCAGAUCCUAGCCAUGGGACUCUUUCUGGUCCUCACAGUUUACUUAUCCCAGGCAGAUUCUACUGACACUUAUGAGAGCUUUUCCUCCAAGAACCACAGCUUCUAUCAGAACUUUUUUUUAAUUAGAACUUUUAUGUUGCUAAGUGUGAGCAGUGCUCUCACCCCUUACAAACUAUGCACUUGUGUUCUAUGAGGCCUACCAAGAGAAAUUCCAGAAAGGGGCUUGUCUGACAACUGCAUUUUUUGGACAUGAUACCAGCUUAGUAGUCAUGAACUGGAAUAUUAGAAAUUCUUGCUCUUGAUUCUGAAAGAAACCUUACUCAUCCGGUCUCUCUUGCUCUGUCUGCUUUGUUCGCCCAAUUCCAACAGAUACUAUCUUCCUUAAAACCCAGAGUUACACAGCAUCCUUGCUCAUCCAUUUUACUGUUCGAGAACUUUUGCUCUGAUGAAAUUCUCGUGUCAAACCUAAAUCCUUUAUGUUGUUUGCAUAACUUAAAUUUGCCGGUUCAGUCUAUAGACAAGACAUUAAUUUCAAACUGGAUUUGACUCCUGGUUAGAGUGUAUCACUCAGCCUAGCAUCCUAAGAACAUGCAUAGCUCUGGUCUUUGGGGGCUGUGUCCCUUAACCAGCUGUGUGACCUUGGCCAAGACAAGCUUCCUGAGCUUAAUUUCCUCCCAUAAGAUAGGUUCAGGUGCACAAUUCUUGGUGUUUUAUUAGAAUAGCCACCCAAAGGCAGU